This 87-nucleotide transfer RNA is filed under the name Prunus campanulata (Taiwan cherry). RNAcentral describes it as "tRNA-Ser". Lineage: Eukaryota; Viridiplantae; Streptophyta; Magnoliopsida; Rosales; Rosaceae. The record is from RNAcentral.
GGGUUCUUUUCUUAUCUUAAUUGAUUUGUUCUACAGAGACCGAACUCCUCCAAUCCAAUUUUUAUUCAUAAUUGGAAGUUCCUACGA